AUCCCCAGGCACUAUCUAGGGUGUUCCCUGCUCCAUGCAUCGUAAAUAGCCGCAGUAUUUUGACUGUGCUAAGGUAGCAUAAUCAUUUGGCUAUUAAUUGUAGUCUAGUAUGAAAGGGAGAACGUAGAGCCCCUGUUUCUUUAGUUCUUUGUUUAACUUAGUCAGUUGGUGAAAAUACCAAUGUCUGUAAAAAAAGACGAGAAGACCCUAGGAAUUAAAAAUUUUGUUGGGGCAACAGACUACAUCCGUAGUUUAUAUUUAUAAUGGCGACACAGUAAGAAAUAUAAAAUUACCCUAGGGAUAACAGCACUAUUAAGUUUUUAGCUUGUGACCUCGAUGUUGGACUAGGAUGCUCCCCGGCAAGCAGCCGGGGUUUCUCACUCUGUUCGAGUGGAGCCUUCCU
This 403-nucleotide ribosomal RNA is filed under the name Odostomia turrita. RNAcentral describes it as "partial 16S ribosomal RNA". It matches the Rfam family "Bacterial large subunit ribosomal RNA", at positions 1830 to 2597 of the family's 2925-position model. The record is from RNAcentral. Lineage: Eukaryota; Metazoa; Mollusca; Gastropoda; Pyramidellidae.